AGAGUUUGAUCCUGGCUCAGAACGAACGCUGGCGGCAGGCCUAACACAUGCAAGUCGAACGAGAAGCCACCUUCGGGUGGUGGACAGUGGCAGACGGGUGAGUAACGCGUGGGAACGUGCCUUUCGGUUCGGGAUAACCCAGGGAAACUUGGGCUAAUACCGGAUACGCCCUCCGGGGGAAAGAUUCAUCGCCGAAAGAUCGGCCCGCGUCGGAUUAGCUAGUUGGUAGGGUAAUGGCCUACCAAGGCGACGAUCCGUAGCUGGUCUGAGAGGAUGACCAGCCACACUGGGACUGAGACACGGCCCAGACUCCUACGGGAGGCAGCAGUGGGGAAUAUUGGACAAUGGGCGAAAGCCUGAUCCAGCCAUGCCGCGUGGGUGAAGAAGGCCUUAGGGUUGUAAACCCCUUUCAGCGGGGAAGAUAAUGACGGUACCCGCAGAAGAAGUCCCGGCUAACUCCGUGCCAGCAGCCGCGGUAAUACGGAGGGGACUAGCGUUGUUCGGAAUUACUGGGCGUAAAGCGCACGUAGGCGGAUUUGUAAGUCAGGGGUGAAAUCCCGGGGCUCAACCCCGGAACUGCCUUUGAUACUGCGAAUCUCGAGUCCGGAAGAGGUGAGUGGAAUUCCUAGUGUAGAGGUGAAAUUCGUAGAUAUUAGGAAGAACACCAGUGGCGAAGGCGGCUCACUGGUCCGGUACUGACGCUGAGGUGC
Molecule: ribosomal RNA, 710 nt
Filed under: uncultured Alphaproteobacteria bacterium
Lineage: Bacteria; Pseudomonadati; Pseudomonadota; Alphaproteobacteria
Description: bacterial SSU rRNA
Rfam family: Bacterial small subunit ribosomal RNA
Source: RNAcentral